This is a long non-coding RNA of Solenopsis invicta (red fire ant), 1575 nucleotides long. RefSeq lists it as uncharacterized. Lineage: Eukaryota; Metazoa; Arthropoda; Insecta; Hymenoptera; Formicidae. The transcript is spliced from 8 exons. The record is from RefSeq and is a predicted model, not a curated record.
UACCGGCCAGCGGAGGUCUCGCGGCUAACGACACAGAUGCGGGCUUUCGCGUUUUGUUUUCUGAAUCUUUUUUUUCUCUGCUUCUGACGGCGAGUGGACGUGGCCCGGUUUUUCCGUUUCUGAUUCUUCUUUUGCACUUUCUUUAUUUUGUGCGUGCACGCAAUUCCGGAAGGAGAAGUGAGUGGCUGCCAGAGAAGCCGGAGCUCGGACUUCGAGAUAAUAAUCGAGUGAUUGCCAGGGAAGGAAGUUGGAGCUUGGAGACAUAUACUUCGAGACAUACGAAUUUUUUUACGAGUUUUGGAGCCUUGUGGCCUUAAGAACUUAUUUCGAUUUCAUCGAAGAUGAUAUCAUAAAAAUUAAAGAAGAGUGUGAUCUUAUUAAAUUGCUCCAAAUAUUGAAUGAAUUCAAAGUCGAUAUAUUACCACUUCAAGUUAGAUUAACAGUAUAUAAAUUAUAUAAUCUUGAUUGAGUACUGUUUAAAUAAUCAAAGGGAUGCUUAUAAAAAUAGACACAAAUUGUUAACAUUAGCAAUUUAUUUACGAAUUAAAGGAAAUAAUAGUAGACUUCGUUAGGGAAACAUUUUAAAAUUAAUAGCUAAAAAGGCACUUAAGAGUUUGUGAAUGUUUUGGAUAAAGUGACUAUACAAUUCAUAGAUUGUUUUAAAUUAUGGAGACUGUUUUUGCUAUAAAUGAUCAAAUCCAAGCGUUAUUGCAACGAAAUGUUCUUUGGUCUGUGGUCGAAUUUUUCGAUAAUUUGGAAGAAUCAGCUGCUAUCGAGGUAAUACCAACAAUAUGGAUCUCAGUUAUCAACAAUGAAAUAACGUGCAAAUAGCCUGACAAAAAUCCUCAGAAAGCUAUAAAAAAAUGUGCAGCCCCAAAAAGUUUUUGGAAAAUAUAUAAAAUUAAAACUAUAUUACUUCAAACUGAUACAUACAAGUCUGCUUUGGAAUUUGCAAUUAAAAAAACUCAAACCGAUACUGAUAUAUCCGUUCCAGAAGUUCAUAAAAGAAGGAAACCAAAAAGAAAAAAACCUAAAUGAUUAUAUGACCACUAAGCUUAGUGACAAUUCUAAAAGCCACCUCCUCCAAAACUUCCAACACUAUGUGAUUCCGCAAUAGAUCGUGGAAUGUAUUUCCAAAGGAUGAUACAAACAUUGCUCCAAGUGACAAGACAAUAAAUGAUAAUGAUCUUCACGAUAACGAUAAAGAAAAUCGAAGUCCGAACGAGAUUAAAACUAACAAUUUGGAUUGUUUAAAAAACAAGAAUGAGGAUCUUGAAUCCUAUCAUAGGAUUGGGAAUGCAUCGCAGGAAAUCAUGUUUACACCAAAUUUCGUACGCAACAUUUUAUUUGAAGAUUUACCAUCAGACAGUCAGAAUAUCAUCAAGAUUUUGGAAAAUACAAUAGUGAUUAGGAAGUUAUUGGAAGAACAGAAGACAUUUUUGGAACAAAAGAAAGAAAACGCACCAGUCUGACCCAAAUUGUAAUAACUUGUCUAUUCCAACAAAACCGUAUAAAAAAUUUAAAAAAUUGCAAGGGUAUAAUACUUCAUUGAGGAUUAAUACAAACAAAAGAAAA